RNAcentral lists this ribosomal RNA (440 nucleotides) under uncultured bacterium. RNAcentral describes it as "partial 16S ribosomal RNA". It matches the Rfam family "Bacterial small subunit ribosomal RNA", at positions 338 to 795 of the family's 1533-position model. The record is from RNAcentral.
CCUACGGGAGGCAGCAGUAGGGAAUAUUGCUCAAUGGGGGAAACCCUGAAGCAGCAACGCCGCGUGGAGGAUGAAGGUUUUCGGAUUGUAAACUCCUUUUGUUAGAGAAGAUAAUGACGGUAUCUAACGAAUCAGCACCGGCUCACUCCGUGCCAGCAGCCGCGGUAAUACGGAGGGUGCAAGCGUUACUCGGAAUCACUGGGCGUAAAGAGCGCGUAGGCGGGAUAGCAAGUCAGAUGUGAAAUCCUAUGGCUUAACCAUAGAACUGCAUUUGAAACUGUGAUUCUAGAGUAUGGGAGAGGUAAGUGGAAUUCGUGGUGUAGGGGUAAAAUGCGUAGAGAUUAAGAGGAAUACUCGUGGCGAAGGCGACCUGCUAGAACGUAACUGACGUUGAGGCGCGAAAGCGUGGGGAGCAAACAGGAUUAGAUACCCUUGUAGUC